Leptidea sinapis is the source of this 792-nucleotide long non-coding RNA. RefSeq lists it as uncharacterized. The transcript has 3 exons. NCBI's taxonomy places the organism in Eukaryota, Metazoa, Arthropoda, Insecta, Lepidoptera, Pieridae. The record is from RefSeq and is a predicted model, not a curated record.
UAAAGUAUGCUCUUUUCUAAAAGGUCUUUAACACGUUCAUUACCACUACGAUUUUCAUGAUGUCUUCUCAGAUGCCGCCUACAUUUUCCGGUGGACUCACCAGGUGAGUCGCCGGCACUGCUAUAUAAAUUGAAUCGACUCGCCACGCGAGUUCACUGGCACUACUUAUGGUAAAUUCUAUGUUUUGUUAUUUUUGUGGCCGUCACAGUGUACAACGCAAUUAAAAAGUGUUUUAGGACUUGUCUUUUUUCUUUAAAAAGUGUUUUAGCUUGUAAAAAUGGCAAAAAACUCUUCGGAUAAAAAAAAAGCGCGGUUUGUGGCAGAAACGGAGCCUUACGACGACGAUUUAACUCAGAUGGAGGAGGAGAGACCUACAAAGCGACCAUGCAUAGAAGGAAAUCUCCAAAAUUACACUGAAGACAACUCGAUGAAGGUUCUGUUUGAAAAUGAUUCUCAAGACUGGGAUGACGACAAUAAUAACUAUCAAACAUGUGACAUUUCAACAAAUACGAAAAACUUAAAUCUUACUGAAAGCAGCACUCAAACUAAUACUACAGGUGAUAAUUCUAAGUAUAUAGAAAUGGCCAACGAAAGCUUUGGCAUUUUUAUUGGACGUGAACUUGCCAAUGUGCCAAUGUUUAAAAGGCGCUUUGUUAUGUAUCAGAUUAUUAGACUGAUUGAAAACAAUUCAUAAAUUAAUAAUUAAGGUCUCUGAUAAUUGGGUUGAAAGUUAUGUAAUGAUAGAAACGCAAAAGAAUCUAUGAAUGAUUAUUAAUAAAUACUAUCAAUAUA